UACGUAGGGUGCAAGCGUUAUCCGGAAUUAUUGGGCGUAAAGAGCUCGUAGGCGGUUUGUCGCGCCUGCUGUGAAAACUGGAGGCUCAACCUCCAGCCUGCAGUGGGUACGGGCAGACUAGAGUGCGGUAGGGGAGACUGGAAUUCCUGGUGUAGCGGUGAAAUGCGCAGAUAUCAGGAGGAACACCGGUGGCGAAGGCGGGUCUCUGGGCCGUAACUGACGCUGAGGAGCGAAAGCAUGGGGAGCGAACAGG
RNAcentral lists this ribosomal RNA (253 nucleotides) under uncultured bacterium. RNAcentral describes it as "partial 16S ribosomal RNA". It matches the Rfam family "Bacterial small subunit ribosomal RNA", at positions 524 to 776 of the family's 1533-position model. The record is from RNAcentral.